Molecule: ribosomal RNA, 417 nt
Filed under: uncultured Funneliformis
Lineage: Eukaryota; Fungi; Glomeromycota; Glomeromycetes; Glomerales; Glomeraceae
Description: partial 28S ribosomal RNA
Source: RNAcentral
GAGAGUUAAACAGUACGUGAAAUUGUUGAAAGGGAAACGAUUGAAGUCAGUCAUACCAACGGGAAAUCAACCUUUUGAGUUUGGUCUCGUGGGUUUUGAAGAGUUUUAAAAGCCUUCGGAUUUUCGAGAUUGGGAUCUUCUGGUGUACUUUCUCGUACGGUUAGUCAACAUCGGUUUUGAAUGUCAUAAAAUGACUGGAGGAAUGUGGCUUCGAUCUCGUAUUGAAGUGUUAUAGCCUUUGGUAGAUGUGAUGUUCGAGACCGAGGAUUGUGCAACGGAUACCCUUCUGGGCUAUUCGUCUGAUCUCUGAAACGUUGCCUUGAUGUCGAAAGCUUGCUUAUGAUGUUAGGGUAUUACGGUCAAAAGGUUAGAACGGAUUAAAUUCGUUAAGGAUGUUGACGUAAUGACUUUAAACGA